UCGGUGUAGCGGUGAUAUGCGUAGAUAUCGAGAAGAACACCAGCGGCGUAAGCGGCUCUCUAUCCUGAAACUGACGCUGAGGUGCGAAAGCCAGGGGAGCGAACGGGAUUAGAUACCCCGGUAGUCCUGGCCAUAAACGAUGUGCACUUGGUGUUGGGCCGCGAGGCUCAGUGAAGAAGCUAACGCAUUAAGUGCACCGCCUGGGGAGUACGACCGCAAGGUUGAAACUCAAAGGAAU
This 238-nucleotide ribosomal RNA is filed under the name uncultured bacterium. Its description in RNAcentral is "partial 16S ribosomal RNA". It matches the Rfam family "Bacterial small subunit ribosomal RNA", at positions 670 to 910 of the family's 1533-position model. The record is from RNAcentral.